Long non-coding RNA from Gallus gallus (chicken), 517 nucleotides. The record is from Ensembl. NCBI's taxonomy places the organism in Eukaryota, Metazoa, Chordata, Aves, Galliformes, Phasianidae.
AGAGCUAGUUUAAUUCCUUUUUAACUUGACCAACAAAACAAGAAAUAUCCAGAAAACAGCAAGACCCCGCCUGUGGGCUUGUUUCUCACAUUAGAUGCAUUCAAACCUGUGCUGCUGCUCUACAGCUUGAUUGUGUGAAGCGACAACUCAAACGCUGCUGCAAGUUGUUACCAUGCAAAUGCUUCCACAUGGGCAACCACGAGUGCCAUGCACGAAGACGUUGCCUAAAUAACUUAUGCGAAGCCAACAUGAGGAGAAGCAACAGAAGGAGAAAGACGUGUUGGGAGAAAAAGUGCACGUGAGAAAUUUGGGGCUGCCUGCGAGGCGUGAGGUGGAAAAGAAUUAUCUUUCUUAAGUACUCCUCAAAAAGAAAGGAAAAGCAUGGCCAUUGGAAGUGCCAAAAUGAGACUCCUCAAUAUUUACAUUUUUUCUCUAUUCAAGAAGAGGAAAUUUGUUGGGGUAGUGGGGAGUACUGAUUCUAGUAAGACUCUCUUUUUAUGUGUCUUAUCUGAGGUAC